Cercocebus atys (sooty mangabey) is the source of this 4005-nucleotide long non-coding RNA. RefSeq lists it as uncharacterized. NCBI's taxonomy places the organism in Eukaryota, Metazoa, Chordata, Mammalia, Primates, Cercopithecidae. The transcript is spliced from 3 exons. The record is from RefSeq and is a predicted model, not a curated record.
ACUGAGGCAGGAGAAUCUCUUGAGCCUGGGAGGCGGAGGUUGCAAUGCACCCAGAAGGCACCACUGCACUCCAACCAUAGGGACAGGAGUGAAAGAAAUCCUGCCUCGAAAAUAGAAAAAAGCUCCAAGUAAUUCCGAGAUGAGUGUUGUGGAUGACCUUCAGGUGGCCCAUGGACUCCGCUAAAAUUAUAUCCACGAAGCAUAGGCACAUAUGGAAAAUUUCCAGGCCAGCAUCAGUUUUACCAAGAAUUAGUAAUCCCCAAAAAGUUGUAAAGUAGCACACACAUGCUGAGGGUAAAGCUUCAUGAUCUUGCUUAAAAUGGUACCACUGUUCUCCCAACCAACCUGAAUCAGAAUCAGUUAUUUUUACUUUCUUCACUUGCCCUCUCAUCCAUUUUGGCUAUUCGACUUCCUUUCUUCCUUUCCAUUCGCCUGCACCACAGCUCAGAUCCUCACUACCCAUGACUACAACAACUGGGAGGUCUUUCAACCUCCAGGUUCUCCCUACCUCAAUUCACACUACAGGCCGCUAUCCCACUAAUCCUUCUGAAACAAAGUGUUCAAAUUGUUUCACUCCCAACUCAAAAUCAUCUGUGGAAGCCCCAUCACCUAGUAAAUCCAAGGUCAUAAGCCUGGCAUUAAAAACAGCCCAUAAACUAGUUCAAAUUUUCCCUUCAAGUUUUAUCAUCCUUUAUCCUGGUACAAAUAAGCUUAUGUUCCACCCAAACAUAAGUACAUGCCUCUCCCUAAAUAGGAACUCUGUGCUCUCUUAGAGAUACCUCUUUGCUUGGAUUACCUUUCCUGCCUAUCCAAAGUCAUAAUCGUCCUUCAAAACCAUGAUUUCAGAAGCCAUAAGCUCUACAAACUAACCCUCUUAUCCCUACCUUGCCAAGUAAGAUCUGAGCUCUACUCUUUUAAGUUUACUUCUGAGAGGAUUUUGGUACCAUUUAUGAAACUUAUAUAUUAAAAGACAAAUAGGGCAUUUGUGUAUAGCACUAUCUACCUAAUUAGUGUGAAGGCAGAAACUGCUAAACGGUUCAUCUUUGUAUUCCCCAAAAUACCUCCCACAAUUAUGCAGUAAAUGCUUAACAACUGUACAAGGAAGUAAAGGAAAUUUCAGCCACCGUGGGGUAAAGAGCAAAGAUUACCAUCUCUUUGAAGGCAGAGACUUUAUCUGUGACAUCCUGUAUUAUGCCGGUAGCUCGUAAUUAUUGCUUUUCAAAACCCUGAUGUAGAUCUUACCAGCAGUUUCGCAUUUUAAGGUAAGAACUAUCUGAAAAUGUUAAUAAGCUAUGUCCCAAAGAACUAUUCCAAAUACUUUACAAUUCCCAAUCUGAGUAGCUCCCAACACUUGGCCACUACACUUUCCAUUUUUUAACAUACUAACCAUUUAUAAAAAAUGAUCAUUUCUAGUCGCAGCUAAUUUACUACUUGAUGGUUAAAAACAAGUCACACAAUAAAAGAAUAACUUUCUUUUUUAAAAGGUGCAUUUUGCUUGCGUAAUACACACAGAUUUGGUGAGGCAGGUAAAGUGGAUUUACACAUGAACUCUUGUUUUUAAAAAAAAAAAAAAUGCAGGUAACUGUAAACCAAGUAUUUCAGGUAAAAACACCAAAUGGGGAAAACAAAUAUAACUUUGGACAUGAUUUUUUUCCCCACUACUAUUACUAGUAACAUUUUAAAGCAGAAACACAAAAUCUUGUUCUACAUUAACCUACACACACACAAAAUUUUGUUAAACUUAUCAAAUAGAAAAAGAAAGCAAAAUCAAGCCCCUGAAAAAUAUUUUUAUUCUGGAAGAGUAAAAAUGUCAAAAUUAUAACAGACACUACUCUUCUUUGGUAAUGAAGGUUUCAUAUAUUUACCAGAGCAAAGAAAACUCCAAAUCGACAGAGCAAAGAAAGGACUGUGAACAAGACUGAUCAUUUAAAGGUCGUAAAGGUAAGGAGCAAACUACAAAAUUAAAUUUUUUAAAAAAAGGACACGAAGAUGAAAGGAGAGUCUGUAAGUCACAGACAAGAUAAGGACUGGUAAAAUCUGCAAGGUCACUGAAACCUACCAGGUCACAAAAGGUGGAGGUGGGGGUUGCGAUGGGGGGGGGGGGGGAUGGGGAGCUGCAGAGUCGGUGAAGAACGGGGAGUGAUAAAAACAUGUCAGAAAAAGACGUUCCAAGGCUGGAGUCCUUGGUUUGCAACGCUGAAAUUGGGGUUAAAGUCAGGGCACGGGCAAUGAGUCUAUAUAUUUGUGUUUUGAGGGAGGUGUUAGGGAAAGGUGGAGGAAGGCGAAGAGAAGGCUAAAAAAGCCUAAGAACUGCAGCUGCAGAGUCACGGAAACACUUCGCUCCGCUCCAGGAUCACUGGCACAGGCCUGUGCCAGGACGAACUCCGGAUUAUGGCUUGCUAUGGCAGUCAGCCUCCAAGAUGGACCCCAUUGAUCCUGGACUCCUGCAGGGCAGGGGCUCACGUUAAGCUGAAGUUUACCCAGGAAGUGAAAUGAGAGAGCCUGGUAAAAGAAGUCUGGCUACAUGAAGCAGAAUGAAAUUCAAGUACAGAGGGAUGCAGAAAAGAAAUCAUGUUUCCUGAAAGAAAAAGCAGAGAAAGUAGCUUGUCUGAAGAUUUUUUUCAACAUUUAUGAGGCCUAGUGGCAGCAUUUACAGUUGGAUUAUGUAAGAUUUCCAUGUAUCCUUCAAAUAAAUUCCCUUUUCAUCUUGUCUAUUGGAAUGUCUUUCUCAGCACCCCAGGCAAAUGGUUUUGGAAUGAGAAGCUGCUUAGCUAUUUCAGGGAAUCCUAUACUCUUUGGUAGAGCGGCCACGCCCUUGACCUAACAGGUCUUAACUAGGUAUUCCCACAGCUGCCUGUACUUCUUCUACUUGUGCCCACAGUUAUACCUCUCAGACUGUUGAUAUUUUUUGUAAUGCACUGAGUUUUCCUCUGCCAAUUAGCAGGCCCAGUGUUUAGAUAUCUUAUUCAGGAUGACCUACCACCAAGUGUUCAAAUAAUAACCUCUUAACUUCAGUUGGCAAAACAUUCUGCGUAGUAUAGAUUUAGAAGGCAUUGCUGCAACAUUUGUAAGAAUAGACAUGUUGGCCAAAAUCAUCGUGCUGACACAAGGAAAGCAAAAAACCAGGUUUAUCAUGGAUGUCAUCAUUGUGGGCCAUGUUAGCAGCGUGUUCCAUCCAACUCACAACAGCUAGGCAGGGUUAGGCCCUGCGGAGGAUUAGGCAAGCUUGACUUGCAACAGAAAGCAAGCGGGAUAGUCUGGGGAUGGCAGUAGAGAAAGAAGAGGAGGCUCAAAGCUAAAUGGAAUCUGAUAUCAACAACAUUAAGGCAAUCAAGAAGAAUAAUCCAGCAGACCAUAAAUCAGUGCACGCUUGGAGGGAGCCAUUAUUUCAAUCAAGGAGUGUCUGCUGAAAGAGGCCUAUAAUUUCAUAGCAGCUCAGAGUUGCUGGACAACAUUCCUCCUUCUGGCUCCUAAAGAACCUCUUAUAGUCAAGGAGGUCUAGGACUAGUUAGGAGACUUCAGAGCUAUUGUCCAAUAAGGAUGAAUGCAUUGUCUUCUAAUUCCUAUAGGGGCUCCAGUGGGUCAGAACUCAAUGGAGCCAGUCUGGUACCUUGAAGAGGAUUUCAUUUCACUGAAUGUCAAGGUCAAUCUCCAUUACAUUACUCUGGUUUAAUUUCUUCAUGAUACUUACCAUCAUCUGAAAAUUGUAUUUAUUUGCUUAUUGUCUGUCUCCCACCCCUUCCAGUAAAAUGUAAAUAAAUUCCUUUAGAGCAGAGACUUUAAUCUGGUUUUUCUCCCCCAGUGCUGUGUUCUCAGCAUCUCGAACAAUGUCUGGCUUUUCGUAUGUUCUCAGUAAAUAUUUAUUGAAUAAAUAAACAAAAGGCCAUGAACUUGGUGAUACAGUCAUGGACUUUGAACAGUGUAAGAGUCCUGGAGAUCCAGACAGUCCUUGAUUAGAAUGUCAACAUUUUAAACAUAUCUGGAAAACAACUGUCCCUGACUUCC